RNAcentral lists this ribosomal RNA (531 nucleotides) under uncultured bacterium. RNAcentral describes it as "bacterial SSU rRNA". It matches the Rfam family "Bacterial small subunit ribosomal RNA", at positions 82 to 679 of the family's 1533-position model. The record is from RNAcentral.
GAAAUUGAGAUUAGUGGCGGACGGGUGAGUAACGCGUGAGGAACCUGCCUUACAGAGGGGGACAACAGUUGGAAACGACUGCUAAUACCGCAUGCUGUAAGAUGGCCUCGCGUCUGAUUAGAUAGUUGGUGGGGUAACGGCCUACCAAGUCGACGAUCAGUAGCCGGACUGAGAGGUUGAACGGCCACAUUGGGACUGAGACACGGCCCAGACUCCUACGGGAGGCAGCAGUGGGGGAUAUUGCACAAUGGAGGAAACUCUGAUGCAGCAACGCCGCGUGAGGGAAGAAGGUUUUCGGAUUGUAAACCUCUGUUUUUAGUGAAGCGGUAGCUAAAGAGGAAGCCACGGCUAACUACGUGCCAGCAGCCGCGGUAAUACGUAGGUGGCAAGCGUUGUCCGGAAUUACUGGGUGUAAAGGGUGCGCAGGCGGGAUUGCAAGUUGGAUGUGAAAUACCGGGGCUUAACCCCGGAGCUGCAUCCAAAACUGUAGUUCUUGAGUGGAGUAGAGGUAAGCGGAAUUCCGAGUGUAGC